AACAACAGAACUGUCUCCUGGUCAACGGAACUCUGCCUUCAACAAUAAAUACUGGAAUAAUCCAGACGGCCUACUUAAAUAUGGACACUGAUGAUGCAACAAAAAGUCUUCAUUUACAACAAAGGUACUUUGGGGCUGACAGACAGCCAUUGUGAAGGACACAAUCUGGCAAAAAUUUACCUGCAGAAGUGAAUGGGAAGAUAUGGGCUCUGAGGAAAAACUCUACACACAGACGCUCUACACACAUAGACGGCUCAAUGCUGCUAACUGGCAGAGCAGCUGGAAAACUAAAAGACAAGAAAAGAAGAACAUUAAUACGGACGACUGUAUUAUUUUUCUUCAAGGACCAGGUCAAGCAAAGACAGUGAUGAGCACUCAGAGCAAACAGUCAGACGCAGGAUUACACACUGGACUUUAGAGUUCUUCAACAUGUGAUGUUGGACAUUUACUGUUUCUAAAGCCAAUAAUUUAUGUGGAUGCCAUUUAUAGACCUGUUAGAUUUUGUUUUAUUUUUUAGAUUAAUAAAAUUGUAUGUUUUAACAAUGUUAUAGCUAAGCUUUUUCU
This is a long non-coding RNA of Megalobrama amblycephala (Wuchang bream), 564 nucleotides long. RefSeq lists it as uncharacterized. Lineage: Eukaryota; Metazoa; Chordata; Actinopteri; Cypriniformes; Xenocyprididae. The record is from RefSeq and is a predicted model, not a curated record. The transcript has 4 exons.